Molecule: long non-coding RNA, 321 nt
Organism: Nilaparvata lugens (brown planthopper)
Lineage: Eukaryota; Metazoa; Arthropoda; Insecta; Hemiptera; Delphacidae
Exons: 3
Source: RefSeq, a predicted model, not a curated record
AUUUCUACAACUUCAAGAAUCAGGUUGGAUCGUUCAGAGAAGAUCAAUUGAAGCAACUUCUCAAAGCUUCAGUAGCAAGACUUUUGUGCGACAAUGUAAAAGGGACUACAAAAGUAUUGAAAAAUACUUUUCAUAAACUAUCAAAGAGGAACCCUCUCAUAUCUUGCAGUCAUGUACCUUCCAUAGACUUGGCAUGCUGGAAAGCUAAAUAAAGAAUAAUGAUGAAGCUCUCUUCAAACAACUCAUAUCAUCGCCACAUGCAGCCUAUUUAUUUCGUAAUUUCAUGUACAAUUUAACAAUCUGCUCAUUCCAUGAUGUUAA